This is a non-coding RNA of Podarcis lilfordi (Lilford's wall lizard), 71 nucleotides long. The record is from the annotation of a GenBank genome assembly. NCBI's taxonomy places the organism in Eukaryota, Metazoa, Chordata, Lepidosauria, Squamata, Lacertidae.
GGGCCAUAGGUCAGCGGUAGAGCAUCUGCCUUGCAUGCAGAAGGUCCCAGGUUAAAUCUCUAGCAUCCCCA